CCCGUCAUCUGUCAUAUAUAAGAUUUAUUCGACUUGAGUUCUUAUGUAAAAACUAUGAAAAUAUUUUUCUAUCAUUCACUCUGUCCUAGUCAAGAUCUUCUAAACUCGAUCUCAUAAGUCACAUAAGACUUCUUUUUAUCUAUCAAGAUCGAUAGAUUCCAUCUAGGUGCACACCCUACUUCUACAACAAAACUAUUGUAGCCAAUCUGCACCGUAAAGACUCAAAGACUAGGGAUCAAGUGUAUAUACAGUCAAACUACAGUAACUCCAUUGUGAGUAGCCAAGGCACCACAAGUCAAAAAAUCAUUCACACCACUAUAGCAUCAAAAAAAUCACUGACGAGUGAGUAAAUAUCCAUAUGACUUUUCAUGUCGGUCACACUCGAUACCUUUGUUCUCUAACAAAAAUCUUUACUCGUCCCUAUACCGUAGAUUCGAAACUCAUCUAUCUCAAGGAAGGC
RNAcentral lists this long non-coding RNA (460 nucleotides) under Elaeis guineensis (African oil palm). RNAcentral describes it as "long non-coding RNA (EGUI_LNC057949)". The record is from RNAcentral. Lineage: Eukaryota; Viridiplantae; Streptophyta; Magnoliopsida; Arecales; Arecaceae.